Molecule: ribosomal RNA, 253 nt
Filed under: uncultured bacterium
Lineage: Bacteria
Description: partial 16S ribosomal RNA
Rfam family: Bacterial small subunit ribosomal RNA
Source: RNAcentral
GACGAAGGGGGCUAGCGUUGUUCGGAAUUACUGGGCGUAAAGCGCACGUAGGCGGCUAUUCAAGUCAGAGGUGAAAGCCCGGGGCUCAACCCCGGAACUGCCUUUGAAACUAGGUAGCUAGAAUCUUGGAGAGGUCAGUGGAAUUCCGAGUGUAGAGGUGAAAUUCGUAGAUAUUCGGAAGAACACCAGUGGCGAAGGCGACUGACUGGACAAGUAUUGACGCUGAGGUGCGAAAGCGUGGGGAGCAAACAGG